Molecule: long non-coding RNA, 1626 nt
Organism: Ictalurus punctatus (channel catfish)
Lineage: Eukaryota; Metazoa; Chordata; Actinopteri; Siluriformes; Ictaluridae
Source: Ensembl
GCCAGUAUGAUAUCUGAAAGAGCUUUAACGGCAGUUUAACCGGUUCUGUUGUCCCACUUGAGCGAGGCCCCCUACUGAAAAGGCUGCUUCCUUCCUGCAACGUGGAGAGCUAUAACUCACCAGUGCCGGUUAGUGCUAUAGGGCAGGUCAUGGCAUGUGGGCAUAGCUGCGGUCUGUGUGCUCUGUAUUGAGGCAAGGCUAGUUGAACCAGUCUGUCCGUCCAUUGCUGGGAACCAGGAGUGAGUUAUGUAGUGGGCAGUAAGAACCAGAAGGUCACUCUGAUGGAACUACAGAGGUCCUGCACAAGUGGACAAAUCCUAAAUUUUCUAGCGAUGCCAGAGAAAAAAUGAAAGCUCCAGUGUGCACAGAAAUGGACUAAUCUAAAGAGUGGUAGCUAAGGGUCACAGGGAGCCUGGAGCCUAUCCCAGUGGACUUGGGGCACAAGGCAGGGGGACACCCUGGAUGUCAGGUGUGUCAGGAUGUCAGGUGCCAACCCAUUGUAGGGCACAAUCUCACACACACUACAGACAAUUUGGAAAUCAAUCUUUGGACUGGCGGAGGAAACCCGAGUACUCAGAGAAAACCCCCAAUGCACAAGGAGAACAUGCAAAGUCUGCGCACACAGGGCGGAGGUGGGAUUCGAACCCCAAUCCUGAAGGUGCGAGGCAAAUGUGCUAACCACUAAGCCAUGAUUAUUAUCCAUUUAAGUUUCUAAAGUAGCACAUUGUAUGUGUACUGUACCGUUAAUAAACAGUCAACUAAUCUUUUGCGAAUGUUCUGUGGCUCCAUACAAGUUUGAACUCUUUAGCAUGAAUGCCAAGUGCUACAUCAACAGAUCAUAACACAUAGGCAUCUUUGUAGAAAAAAAAAGUGAUCAGAACCUCACACAUGGUCGAAAGUUAACCUUUAGACAACAGAAACACACAGAGAAGACACGACUAUGAUCAUCCUUGAGUGGUCUAGACGGAGCUUGGUUUUUACCCAGUUGAAUGUUUCUGGAAAGACCUGGAGGUUCCUCUAAACAGACUGGAGGAAUAUCCUUGAAUUCAGGUGUGCCAAGCUCAUAGCAUCAGACUCAAAAAGACUGUAAUUACUGCCAAUACUGCUUUAACAAUGCAUUGAGUAAAGGGUCUGAAUAUUUGUUUCAAAUAUAUCUUUCACAGAUUCAGAAGGAAAAAAAAUGAAUGCAGUACAUUUCAGAGAAAAGAGUAAUGUAGGUGGAUACACCGUGCAUGUGUGUACAGUACCCUACAGCUGCAGAAGCACUUAACUUGCACUGCUGAUGAAGGACUUUUGUCUGAAACAUCUUGAUUCUCUGGUAACCUUGAGUACUUCAUUGAACUUUUACUACUUAUACCAUGUACUAACAAGGCUAUUUAAGGUCUUUGCUAUGGCUCUGUUGCUUUUCCUACUUGAGUUGUAUUUAGUAAUGUUGACCCUGAGUGUCUCAACAUGUUUUCCUGAUAAAUUAUUUUUUUUUUAAACAAAAUGUCUUUAUUUAUGCUAAUGAAUGCACACUGUUUUGUUCAUAUUCAUAAAUACGAGUGUGUGUAAAUCUGAAGUGGAUAUAUGCACUGGAGGUAUAUUAAAUAACAAAAACAAACGUGUCGGAAUACUUACUUCCCC